AGUGAACGCUGGCGGUAGGCCUAACACAUGCAAGUCGAACGGCAGCACAGUAAGAGCUUGCUCUUACGGGUGGCGAGUGGCGGACGGGUGAGGAAUACAUCGGAAUCUACUUUUUCGUGGGGGAUAACGUAGGGAAACUUACGCUAAUACCGCAUACGACCUACGGGUGAAAGCAGGGGAUCUUCGGACCUUGCGCGAUUGAAUGAGCCGAUGUCGGAUUAGCUAGUUGGCGGGGUAAAGGCCCACCAAGGCGACGAUCCGUAGCUGGUCUGAGAGGAUGAUCAGCCACACUGGAACUGAGGCACGGUCCAGACUCCUACGGGAGGCAGCAGUGGGGAAUAUUGGACAAUGGGCGCAAGCCUGAUCCAGCCAUACCGCGUGGGUGAAGAAGGCCUUCGGGUUGUAAAGCCCUUUUGUCGGGAAAGAAAAGCAGCAGGUUAAUACCCCGCUGUUCUGACGGUACCCAAAGAAUAAGCACCGGCUAACUUCGU
This 491-nucleotide ribosomal RNA is filed under the name uncultured bacterium. RNAcentral's name for it is "partial 16S ribosomal RNA". It matches the Rfam family "Bacterial small subunit ribosomal RNA", at positions 29 to 506 of the family's 1533-position model. The record is from RNAcentral.